This 591-nucleotide ribosomal RNA is filed under the name uncultured bacterium. Its description in RNAcentral is "bacterial SSU rRNA". It matches the Rfam family "Bacterial small subunit ribosomal RNA", at positions 338 to 948 of the family's 1533-position model. The record is from RNAcentral.
CCUACGGGAGGCAGCAGUGGGGAAUCUUGCGCAAUGGGCGAAAGCCUGACGCAGCAACGCCGCGUGCGGGAAGAAGGCUUUCGGACUGUAAACCGCUUUCAGCAGGAACGAAAAUGACGGUACCUGCAGAAGAAGGAGCGGCCAACUAUGUGCCAGCAGCCGCGGUGAUACAUAGGCUUCAAGCGUUGUCCGGAUUUAUUGGGCGUAAAGAGUUCGUAGGCGGUCGAGUAAGUCGGGUGUGAAAAUUCUGGGCUCAACCCAGAGACGCCACCCGAUACUGCUUGACUUGAGUUCGAUAGGGGAGUGGGGAAUUCCUAGUGUAGCGGUGAAAUGCGCAGAUAUUAGGAGGAACACCGGUGGCGAAGGCGCCACUCUGGAUCGAUACUGACGCUGAGGAACGAAAGCAUGGGUAGCAAACAGGAUUAGAUACCCUGGUAGUCCAUGCCGUAAACGGUGGGCACUAGGUGUGGGUUUCUAUUAACGAAAUCCGCGCCGUCGCUAACGCAUUAAGUGCCCCGCCUGGGGAGUACGGUCGCAAGCUAAAACUCAAAGGAAUUGACGGNGNGAGAGNGCGAGACGACACGAGGAGAG